GGAUGAACGCUGGCGGCGUGCCUACUACAUGCAAGUCGAGCGAACGGACGAGAAGCUUGCUUCUCUGAUGUUCGCGGCGGACGGGUGAGUAACACGUGGAUAACCUACCUAUAAGACUGGGAUAACUUCGGGAAACCGUAGCUAAUACCGGAUAAUAUUUUGAACCGCAUGGUUCAAAAGUGAAAGACGGUCUUGCUGUCACUUAUAGAUGGAUCCGCGCUGCAUUAGCUAGUUGGUAAGGUAACGGCUUACCAAGGCAACGAUGCAUAGCCGACCUGAGAGGGUGAUCGGCCACACUGGAACUGAGACACGGUCCAGACUCCUACGGGAGGCAGCAGUAGGGAAUCUUCCGCAAUGGGCGAAAGCCUGACGGAGCAACGCCGCGUGAGUGAUGAAGGUCUUCGGAUCGUAAAACUCUGUUAUUAGGGAAGAACAUAUGUGUAAGUAACUGUGCACAUCUUGACGGUACCUAAUCAGAAAGCCACGGCUAACUACGUG
Molecule: ribosomal RNA, 498 nt
Filed under: uncultured bacterium
Lineage: Bacteria
Description: partial 16S ribosomal RNA
Rfam family: Bacterial small subunit ribosomal RNA
Source: RNAcentral